CUACGGGGGGCUGCAGUGGGGAAUCUUAGACAAUGGGCGCAAGCCUGAUCUAGCCAUGCCGCGUGAGUGACGAAGGCCUUAGGGUCGUAAAGCUCUUUCGCUGGGGAAGAUAAUGACGGUACCCAGUAAAGAAACCCCGGCUAACUCCGUGCCAGCAGCCGCGGUGAUACGGAGGGGGUUAGCGUUGUUCGGAAUUACUGGGCGUAAAGCGCGCGUAGGCGGAUCAGAAAGUUGGGGGUGAAAUCCCGGGGCUCAACCCCGGAACUGCCUUCAAAACUCCUGGUCUUGAGUUCGAGAGAGGUGAGUGGAAUUCCGAGUGUAGAGGUGAAAUUCGUAGAUAUUCGGAGGAACACCAGUGGCGAAGGCGGCUCACUGGCUCGAUACUGACGCUGAGGUGCGAAAGCGUGGGGAGCAAACAGGAUUAGAUACCCGUGUAGUC
This 439-nucleotide ribosomal RNA is filed under the name uncultured bacterium. RNAcentral's name for it is "partial 16S ribosomal RNA". It matches the Rfam family "Bacterial small subunit ribosomal RNA", at positions 339 to 795 of the family's 1533-position model. The record is from RNAcentral.